AGCAGUCGCCGCGGGAAUACAGAGGAUGCAAGCGUUAUCCGGAAUGAUUGGGCGUAAAGCGUCUGUAGGUGGCUCUUCAAGUCCGCCGUCAAAUCCCAGGGCUCAACCCUGGACAGGCGGUGGAAACUACCAAGCUGGAGUACGGUAGGGGCAGAGGGAAUUUCCGGUGUAGCGGUGAAAUGCGUAGAUAUCGGAAGGAACACCUGUGGCGAAAGCGGCUCACUGGACCAUUACUGACGCUGAGGCGCGAAAGCUAGGGGAGCAAACAGGAUUAGAUACCCCUGUAGUCCCUGUCUCUUAUAC
RNAcentral lists this ribosomal RNA (303 nucleotides) under uncultured bacterium. RNAcentral describes it as "partial 16S ribosomal RNA". It matches the Rfam family "Bacterial small subunit ribosomal RNA", at positions 507 to 807 of the family's 1533-position model. The record is from RNAcentral.